This 497-nucleotide ribosomal RNA is filed under the name uncultured bacterium. RNAcentral describes it as "partial 16S ribosomal RNA". It matches the Rfam family "Bacterial small subunit ribosomal RNA", at positions 28 to 507 of the family's 1533-position model. The record is from RNAcentral.
GAUGAACGCUGGCGGCGUGCCUAAUACAUGCAAGUCGAGCGAACGGACGAGAAGCUUGCUUCUCUGAUGUUAGCGGCGGACGGGUGAGUAACACGUGGAUAACCUACCUAUAAGACUGGGAUAACUUCGGGAAACCGGAGCUAAUACCGGAUGAUAUUUUGAACCGCAUGGUUCAAAAGUGAAAGACGGUCUUGCUGUCACUUAUAGAUGGAUCCGCGCUGCAUUAGCUAGUUGGUAAGGUAACGGCUUACCAAGGCAACGAUGCAUAGCCGACCUGAGAGGGUGAUCGGCCACACUGGAACUGAGACACGGUCCAGACUCCUACGGGAGGCAGCAGUAGGGAAUAUUCCGCAAUGGGCGAAAGCCUGACGGAGCAACGCCGCGUGAGUGAUGAAGGUCUUCGGAUCGUAAAACUCUGUUAUUAGGGAAGAACAUAUGUGGAAGUAACUGUGCACAUCUUGACGGUACCUAAUCAGAAAGCCACGGCUAACUACGUG